This is a long non-coding RNA of Neopelma chrysocephalum (saffron-crested tyrant-manakin), 146 nucleotides long. RefSeq lists it as uncharacterized. The transcript has 3 exons. The record is from RefSeq and is a predicted model, not a curated record. NCBI's taxonomy places the organism in Eukaryota, Metazoa, Chordata, Aves, Passeriformes, Pipridae.
CUGAGUUGGAAGGGACCCAUCAGGAUCAUCGAGUCCAACUUCUGACCCUGCAUAGGUCACCCCAAGAAUCACACCAGGUGCGUGAGAGUAUCGUCCAAACAAUUCUUGAACUCAGACAUGCUUAGUGCUGCUGUGCCCACUGGCCU